GCCCGGGGGGGGUGCCCUAAUACAUGCAAGUCGAACGCGUUGGCCCAAUUGAUUGAUGGUGCUUGCACCUGAUUGAUUUUGGUCGCCAACGAGUGGCGGACGGGUGAGUAACACGUAGGUAACCUGCCCAGAAGCGGGGGACAACAUUUGGAAACAGAUGCUAAUACCGCAUAACAGCGUUGUUCGCAUGAACAACGCUUAAAAGAUGGCUUCUCGCUAUCACUUCUGGAUGGACCUGCGGUGCAUUAGCUUGUUGGUGGGGUAACGGCCUACCAAGGCGAUGAUGCAUAGCCGAGUUGAGAGACUGAUCGGCCACAAUGGGACUGAGACACGGCCCAUACUCCUACGGGAGGCAGCAGUAGGGAAUCUUCCACAAUGGGCGCAAGCCUGAUGGAGCAACACCGCGUGAGUGAAGAAGGGUUUCGGCUCGUAAAGCUCUGUUGUUAAAGAAGAACACGUAUGAGAGUAACUGUUCAUACGUUGACGGUAUUUAACCAGAAAGUCACGGCUAACUACGUGCCAGCAGCCGCGGUAAUACGUAGGUGGCAAGCGUUAUCCGGAUUUAUUGGGCGUAAAGAGAGUGCAGGCGGUUUUCUAAGUCUGAUGUGAAAGCCUUCGGCUUAACCGGAGAAGUGCAUCGGAAACUGGAUAACUUGAGUGCAGAAGAGGGUAGUGGAACUCCAUGUGUAGCGGUGGAAUGCGUAGAUAUAUGGAAGAACACCAGUGGCGAAGGCGGCUACCUGGUCUGCAACUGACGCUGAGACUCGAAAGCAUGGGUAGCGAACAGGAUUAGAUACCCUGGUAGUCCAUGCCGUAAACGAUGAGUGCUAGGUGUUGGAGGGUUUCCGCCCUUCAGUGCCGGAGCUAACGCAUUAAGCACUCCGCCUGGGGAGUACGACCGCAAGGUUGAAACUCAAAGGAAUUGACGGGGGCCCGCACAAGCGGUGGAGCAUGUGGUUUAAUUCGAAGCUACGCGAAGAACCUUACCAGGUCUUGACAUCUUGCGCCAACCCUAGAGAUAGGGCGUUUCCUUCGGGAACGCAAUGACAGGUGGUGCAUGGUCGUCGUCAGCUCGUGUCGUGAGAUGUUGGGUUAAGUCCCGCAACGAGCGCAACCCUUGUUACUAGUUGCCAGCAUUAAGUUGGGCACUCUAGUGAGACUGCCGGUGACAAACCGGAGGAAGGUGGGGACGACGUCAGAUCAUCAUGCCCCUUAUGACCUGGGCUACACACGUGCUACAAUGGACGGUACAACGAGUCGCGAACUCGCGAGGGCAAGCAAAUCUCUUAAAACCGUUCUCAGUUCGGACUGCAGGCUGCAACUCGCCUGCACGAAGUCGGAAUCGCUAGUAAUCGCGGAUCAGCAUGCCGCGGUGAAUACGUUCCCGGGCCUUGUACACACCGCCCGUCACACCAUGAGAGUUUGUAACACCCAAAGUCGGUGGGGUAACCUUUUAGGAGCCAGCCGCCUAAAGGGGACCAAAUA
Molecule: ribosomal RNA, 1485 nt
Filed under: Limosilactobacillus fermentum
Lineage: Bacteria; Bacillati; Bacillota; Bacilli; Lactobacillales; Lactobacillaceae
Description: bacterial SSU rRNA
Rfam family: Bacterial small subunit ribosomal RNA
Source: RNAcentral